RNAcentral lists this ribosomal RNA (425 nucleotides) under uncultured bacterium. Its description in RNAcentral is "partial 16S ribosomal RNA". It matches the Rfam family "Bacterial small subunit ribosomal RNA", at positions 354 to 796 of the family's 1533-position model. The record is from RNAcentral.
GUGGGGAAUAUUGCACAAUGGGGGAAACCCUGAUGCAGCGACGCCGCGUGAGUGAAGAAGUAUUUCGGUACGUAAAGCUCUAUCAGCAAGGAAGAAAAUGACGGUACUUGACUAAGAAGCCCCGGCUAACUACGUGCCAGCAGCCGCGGUAAUACGUAGGGGGCAAGCGUUAUCCGGAUUUACUGGGUGUAAAGGGAGCGUAGACGGUAUGGUAAGUCAGAUGUGAAAGCCCGGGGCUCAACCCCGGGACUGCAUUUGAAACUAUCAGACUAGAGUGCAGGAGAGGUAAGUGGAAUUCCUAGUGUAGCGGUGAAAUGCGUAGAUAUUAGGAGGAACACCAGUGGCGAAGGCGGCUUACUGGACUGUAACUGACGUUGAGGCUCGAAAGCGUGGGGGGCAAACAGGAUUAGAAACCCUUGUAGUCC